GAAGAAGAAGAAGAAGAAGAAGAAGAAGAAGAAGAAGAAGACGAUUGGUAGCAGCAUCGAAGAGAAAGAUUGGAACGAGAGGGAAGAAACGUGUCUUUCAAGAUCGUCGAUUCGAAGAAAGUGAGAAACGAAUCGAAGAAGGAACGAAGAGUGGCGAUUGUGUGUGGAAAACAAUGAAGAAAAAAUAUAAAACGCUGUCUGCGUUGAUCAUUUUGGGAUUGAAAUCGGAUCUAAGAGCGAAGCUGGAACGAAUGUGAGGAUUUCUAAAAAAUGAUCAGAAAAAAAUGUCUUUUUGAGAACAAAAAGCGCCAAAAAAAAUCUGUGUAUAAAGUCAGUCGAGAAUGUGUAUGCAUGUGUGACAGAGGGGAUGAAUGAAUGAGAUGGAUCGAGGAAAGGAAAGAUGCGAUAAGCAUGGAGCAAGUGACAAAGAAGACGAAUAUUGAUAAGAAGAAGAAAGAAAACAGAAGCGUUGGUGUGCAAUAAUCGUCAGGAAUGGUUUUUAUCAACUUCCUGGCGCGAAAGUUCAAAGACAAGUCGAUGGAAGAACAAAUUUUUGGUUCCUCUUCCGUCUGCGGACAAAGUAUAUGCGAGGAUCUUUUUUAGAAAGACGGAAGGAGAAGUUUCCGAUGCUAUUCGCGAAACGUUUCUCAAAAUUGACUUCAUUGAAGAAAAUAUUUCUGUACAGCACAAUUACAUACACACAAGCGUAAAGAUACACAUCCAUAUGACACGUAUGUACAUAACGCGACAGAAGCGCAGGAGAAACAAAUAGAGCCGAUUCGUAAAACGAAACGCGCGUUUAUGUGAGUCACGUGUGCAGAAAACAAAAAAAAAAAGAUCGAUACAAACACCGGGCGCACAUAACCUAACACUGUACAAUUGCAAAUAAACGAUAGACGGAGAAGCGCAAAAGAUUCCAAGCGGAGAUACAAAAUGGAGAGAAAGCUGUUUCUGUAACGGGUACGCCUGACAAUUUUCGAUUAAGGCCCCGUUACACAGGAAAGAAACACGGUACAACGCCGCGUUCCAAGUUUCUUUGGUGUUUACUUAAACGCAGAUGGAGCCACUUUAUGAACAAAAUGAAAGAUGAAGGAGAACAACAGGAGAAAAUUUGUAACGUUUCCAUAGUAUCGCAAACGAUCCUUUCUGUUCCUUGUCCCCGUCUCGUUUUUCCCAAACUUUUUCCCUACACGCUUUUCUUUGAUACUAGUGAAACAAGAACAUGGCAAGCCACGCUACGAAGCUACCUAGCUUCACCUCUUCACGACUACCCAACGAGAAUCAUCUUUAGUUUCCGUUUCCACCUUAUACCUCAACAAGUCUUAUGCAUAUCCCGUCCACAAUUUCCUUUUACUACACCCUUUUUCUUUAGGGCCCUUCUCAGGGCCCGCAAAUGCAUCAUCUACGGAGCAUCAAUCUCUUGGAUCAACAUGAAUAGAAAAUCUGUCCUUUUCAGGACAAUCUAUUAAAAACUGUCCUUUUCAGGACAAUAUAUCACAGCUGCCAUUUUUGGCUAAGCUUUUCAGGAACUUAUCCUUCGUAAGGACAAAAUUAAUCCUGCCUCAAAAUAAAAGAAAAUAAAAUUUGUGUCUGGAUAAAAUCCCAUUGCACCCGAAUUGCUUGUGUCCCUUCUAGGGGUGCGUCGCAAACUUUAAAUUUUCAGCCUGGCCAGCCUGUAUUUUGGUGCGUAUAAUGUUAAUCUUUCCAAAUUUUAACGAUUUAAUGUACAUAACCCCUAACCACAUCUUUGUUGCAGUUCUGUAAGUUUUAUACGACACAUGUUUGAUUUCCUUUGAAAAUUGAUAACUAUUGCUGACGCAACAGUUUGCGGUACGAACGGGUAAGUAUUGUUCAGCGUGACUUAAGCACAUUUGCGUAAAAACCUCAGAAGGCCAUGGAAGAUAACCGGUAUGGAACGUUCAGGAAGUAUGUCGCGUCACUCGCGUCACGUUUCGCUAGAAAAACAAGCUAGUUUUACCGUAUCGACACGACGUACUUUUCUGACAAGAUUCCAUUUUUUGUAUCGUCGUCAAGUGUUACGAUAUAAACUGAUCAACGUUAGUAAAUGUAAUUUUUUGAAACUAGAAUCUUUAUUACUUUUAUAGAUCAUCAUGUGUCGAAAAAGAUCGAAGUCACGUUUUAAAAAGUUACGCUAAGUUUAUAAUUUGUUUUUUAACAGAAGAAUGAGCCUCGAUGGAUUUGGAACGACCACAAAAAAUACUCCUAGCGAUAAAUACGCUACAAGCAUGAAAAAUUAAGUGACUUUAAUAAACUAUUUUCGAUCGUUCAGCCGAUGCAUGUUUCAUUUCGCAGUAUAAUCUUGUAGUUGUCCCACCAGACAGCUACAGUGUGGUAUACGAAUGCUCGGGCAAUGCCCUACCAAGAUUAGCAUGUAUACGUGUGCAUUCGCACAAGAACGCUUUAUUAUAGCAGACAAAUCUAGCUGUAUUAAGAUAUCUGUCUUUCUAACUUUUUUAUUCAUUUAUUCUGAUAAGAUUGUAAGAAGUUAAUCUGCCUUCACACGAUCUUCUUUCGUAUCGAUUAAAUGUAAUGAAAUACAGUAUAUGCACUGAAAUUCGCGACGGACAGUGAACUCGAAACUUAAUGGAAACGGUGCGAAGAUUGAUGGCCUUGUUUUGUUGCUUAUACGAAUCAGUAGUCAGACGUUGAACGAAAGCAAGAAGAAAAAAGUCUGCUUAUCGAUUCUCUUUUCUCAAUAUUGUUUUACGCACGUACUUGUAGCCUGCAAAUAUUUGCCUUGUAUUUUAAAACUUCAUGACGCGCGCAACCGUGUCGUUUAGUAUGACUAAUCGAAAAGACAAAGUCAUGCCUCAAAAACUGAAAGGAAGAGCGUGACGAGCAUAACUGUAUUUUAUAGAAGAGAAAUCGAUUGGUCGCUGUGAGUCAUGUUUCGCUAUUAAAACUUGAUCGUAUCAAUCGUGGAAUUUUCAUGAAUAUAUUUUUAUAUCGAAGACCAAGUGUUAAUAAAUAUAUUUUUAAGUAAUAACACGGACAAGAUUCUUCCAUUUCUAACUCGUUACUGUUUCUCAGGCUUAGAAGUACCGUCUACCAUCGGUGAUAUUGUACAAUUUUAUGUUCGAGCCAGCCCCAUAAGUUGCCAAUACAUCCUGAUUCCCGAUCAUCCACGUAAAUCCUACGAUAGUAUUUUCAAAGGAAAUCGAGCGCAGGCACGAAUGCUGAA
Hylaeus volcanicus is the source of this 3202-nucleotide long non-coding RNA. RefSeq lists it as uncharacterized. NCBI's taxonomy places the organism in Eukaryota, Metazoa, Arthropoda, Insecta, Hymenoptera, Colletidae. The transcript is spliced from 3 exons. The record is from RefSeq and is a predicted model, not a curated record.